Molecule: transfer RNA, 105 nt
Filed under: Phaeodactylibacter xiamenensis
Lineage: Bacteria; Pseudomonadati; Bacteroidota; Saprospiria; Saprospirales; Haliscomenobacteraceae
Rfam family: tRNA
About the family: Transfer RNA (tRNA) molecules are approximately 80 nucleotides in length. Their secondary structure includes four short double-helical elements and three loops (D, anti-codon, and T loops). Further hydrogen bonds mediate the characteristic L-shaped molecular structure. tRNAs have two regions of fundamental functional importance: the anti-codon, which is responsible for specific mRNA codon recognition, and the 3' end, to which the tRNAs corresponding amino acid is attached (by aminoacyl-tRNA synthetases). tRNAs cope with the degeneracy of the genetic code in two manners: having more than one tRNA (with a specific anti-codon) for a particular amino acid; and 'wobble' base-pairing, i.e. permitting non-standard base-pairing at the 3rd anti-codon position.
Source: Rfam by way of RNAcentral
GUAUUUGUAGUUUAACGGGUAAAACAGGGGACUUUUUUAAAUUCAAAUCUGCCUGAUACUAUUAAGAACAAUCUCCAGUUGUAGGUUCGAGUCCUGCCAAAUACA